This 253-nucleotide ribosomal RNA is filed under the name uncultured bacterium. RNAcentral describes it as "partial 16S ribosomal RNA". It matches the Rfam family "Bacterial small subunit ribosomal RNA", at positions 524 to 776 of the family's 1533-position model. The record is from RNAcentral.
UACGUAGGGGGCUAGCGUUGUCCGGAAUCAUUGGGCGUAAAGCGCGUGUAGGCGGUCCGGUAAGUCCGCUGUGAAAGUCGGGGGCUCAACCCUCGAAUGCCGGUGGAUACUGUCGGGCUAGAGUGCGGAAGAGGCGAGUGGAAUUCCUGGUGUAGCGGUGAAAUGCGCAGAUAUCAGGAGGAACACCGGUGGCGAAGGCGCCACUCUGGGCCGAAACUGACGCUGAGGAGCGAAAGCGUGGGUAGCAAACAGG